GGGAGACUAGCGCCACCGUGGGGGUGGCCUCAUGCAUCCCCAGAGGCCAAGCCUCCAGGCAGGGUCCCCCAACCCCAAGGCCAGGUGGGGUCUAGGGACCCACUUGGUACCCAAUAAACAUUUACUGGAUAAAUGAAUGAAUGAGCCAAUGACUGAGGGCUCCUGGGUUCCAGGGGAGGGUCUGUCCUGAGCUCUGGCGGAGGACAGACAGCACUCCCCCCUCUCCCCGCCCCCCACCCCCACUCCAGGUGCCUGCAGACACCUUUUCCAGUUCCAGGUGCGGCUUGAGGGCCUCAGGUAAGAGGCUAGAAGAACUUCCAGAGGGAGUCAGGCCCCAGGCCUGGCCGGGUGGAGCCGCCCCUCUCCCCUGCCUCCUCUGCCAGAGGGGUCACCAUGGAUUGCCCUGGGCUGGCCCUGCCCUGCCUCUGCUCCAGGACCUGUAGGGUUCCCUCUUCACAGCAGUGUCUGCUCUGGUCCUUCCGGCUGGCUCUCAAGGUCCCCUGUCCCACCAGGCCAUGUGCCCGCUCAGGCAGGACAACUGCAGACACCUUGCUGCAGGCCUUUGCCGGGGCCUGUCCCCUGGUGGCCUGCCCCUCUCCCCCUGACUCCUGUAAAUCGUGUUGUUCACUCUGGGUUCAUCUCCCCUCUUCCAAAGGAAGCCCCUCUCCCCCCCUACUCUGUUUUCUCAUCCACAUCAUUUCAGGUAUUUAUUUCCUCUGUGUUCCAAGCCCCGUGCUGGGGGUCCCGAGAAUAAAAGACACAGGUCUUGCCCUCCACAGCAAGUGACCGAUGACAAGGUUCUGCUCUAAGGUAAGCCAGGUGCAGAGGAAACAGAGAGAAAAGGGCGUGUGUUGUGGGAGAGGGCCGAGGGGCUGUUAUGGAAGACAUCCUGGAGGAGGAGACCAGCCGACCGGAGUCUGGGAGCCAAGUGGGAUUCUUCCAGGUGCCCACAGCUACUGACUGGUGGAUGGAUUGAGGACCUUGGAGCUCUCCCCUGAUCUUCCUUCUUCAGUGGCAACAAAUCCCAGCAGACAGCGCUGACCUCUACUCACCCAGGACUCUGGGAACGCACCUUACACUCAGGAUCUCCGGCAUCUCGUCCGGUCAACCGCCCGCCUGACCAGCGACGCGUGAGGGUGCAAGCUAUGUCCUGCCCUUGACCCGGGCCCUGCAGGGGCAUGGCAAAUAUUUGUUUGUGGAAGGAAGCUCCUCCCAGAGAUCCGGGGCUGGAGAGACAAGUGGGCAGGGGUUGUGCCUCUGCAGGUGCCAGUCUGUGUGUUGUCGUCUAUUCCCAGGAAGGGAUUCUGGGGUUCCUGAUCAAAGACCCAGCUACCUCUGCCCCUCUCUCACACCCAGGGGCUAGGGUGAGCUCAGUCUUGUCUUUGCACCCAAUGGGAACCAGAGAGAGGCCUGAGCCCCAUCUGUGCCCAUGACACUCUUGGUCUUAGCUUUUUUUUUUUUUUUUUUUUUUUUUAAGGAAUCUCUAUGUCCAACGUGGGGCUUGAGAUCAAGAGUCGCGUGUUCUACCCACUGAGCCAGCCAGGCGCCCCGACAUCUCCUGGUCGUCAGAUCCCACUGUGACUCCCGUCAAGCAGCUCAGGACUAUUCACUGAAGCCGGCACUCCAGACCCCUGAACCACCUCCCCCCCAAAACCACUCUGCCACUACGAAGACCACGCUGUUCCUGGUCCCAGCCAUUCGGUCAGCAGCUGGGGAGCCAAGCUUGGGGUGCUCAGCGCUGCCAGCGGGGAAGGAAAUUCGACUCGUAUAUGACACAGAGGACAGAAACAGGCCCACCAGGAACGCAAUAACAGAGAGCCUGGGGAUCCUAAGCAGAGAAACUUCCUGCAGUUGGGGAACAAGAGGGCACUCUUCGGUGACUGAUAACUGGCUGCAAACCCAAGACGCUGUAUGGAGCACAAUGUUGUCCAUAAACGAGGCGGGACCUGCCCUCAGGGCCCUGGACGUCUGUCCCUGGAUCCAGACCCUGGCAGAUGCUGGGCAGCCGUUCUCGUCCGUGUCCCUUAUGACCUGCGGCUCCUCUGGGCUAUUUGGGGCUCACCUGGGCAGGGCGGACGACGUGGGCUAGCCUGGAGUUCUACAACAGAAGCCCUUCCCCAUCCUCGCCUCCUAGGGAUAAGGGCCAAAGGGAGUCUCUAGGGCAGUGGACCCCAAAGCCCGGACCCCUUCUGUCCAUGGCCACCCUCCAGAACCUUCUUUGCUCUUCCUUCCCACACAGCGUCUAUCCCCCACCGGCUGCAGAAGCAGGCGAUGGGAGGCAGGGGAGGGUCUCGGGGAAGGGCACCCUAACAAACUGGGGGGCAAUGGUGGGAGCCGUGGCUUCCCACCAGGCAGGACCCGGAGCCUGGGGGGCCCUCAUUCUUGAGUCCUCCGCACCUGACAGGGGGUCAGCAUCUGUGGAACUGGACCCACCUCCACACGGGCCGCCGCGCCCAGGCCUGGAGCCUGAGCCCUCUGUCCUCCCUGCCUGCUGGGCCCCGGCCGCCAGGGCAGAGGCCCCCGGGAACAGACGAGGGCCCAGCCUGCACGAAGCUGACCUCGAGCCUCAGCCCGGGCCGGGUAACAGGAAGCCAGAGGCCGAUGCCGGUAAGCAACGGAGAUUCAGGGAUCAGAGGUCUGCUGCCUGAUCAGAAGCAGCCUGGAGUCGGAGGACAGAUUACUGGAAGGAGGAGGAAGCUGCAGCAAUAAAUAAGGCCAGACCCCAAACACUUGCCUCUAGCUGACGGGAGCCCAGCCUGAGUGCAGCGCAGGGGCCCCAGGAAGGGGGGAGGGGGGAGGGCAGGAGGUGCAAGGUAUGCUUUGCUUGCAGCCUGAGCUGGGGGCCCUGGAAGGCAGGGAUGGAGUGUUCGGUGUCCAGUGUCCCCGGGCAGGGCCUGAAACGCAAGGGAUCUUCAGAGCUCUGCAGAAGGUCCCUUGGGCGCCGUCCCCACGCCUCCUGCUCCACUGCCGUGCGUCCCCCAGCCCCCACCCCCCCAGGGAGGUCGUUGAAGUGGGGACCCAGCCCUGGGCUUGCUUGGCUCCCCCCACAGGCCUCCCUGCCCCCGC
Molecule: long non-coding RNA, 3066 nt
Organism: Prionailurus viverrinus (fishing cat)
Lineage: Eukaryota; Metazoa; Chordata; Mammalia; Carnivora; Felidae
Exons: 3
Source: RefSeq, a predicted model, not a curated record